UACGAGUGCCUCAAGCGUUAUCCGGAAUUAUUGGGCGUAAAGGUUGUGUAGGUGGUCGUGUUAGUCUUCUGUUAAAUUCUUCGGCUUAACCGGGGGCAUGCAGAAGAAACGGCACGACUCGAGGAUGCGAGGGGUCUGCGGAACUCAUAGUGUAGCGGUGAAAUGCGUUGAUAUUAUGGGGAACACCAAAAGCGAAGGCAGCAGACUGGAGCACUCCUGACACUGAAACACGAAAGCGUGGGUCGCGAAUGGG
Molecule: ribosomal RNA, 253 nt
Filed under: uncultured bacterium
Lineage: Bacteria
Description: partial 16S ribosomal RNA
Rfam family: Bacterial small subunit ribosomal RNA
Source: RNAcentral